This is a non-coding RNA of Lentinus tigrinus ALCF2SS1-7, 97 nucleotides long. The record is from the annotation of a GenBank genome assembly. NCBI's taxonomy places the organism in Eukaryota, Fungi, Basidiomycota, Agaricomycetes, Polyporales, Polyporaceae.
UCCCGUUUAGCUCAGUUGGUAGAGCGCGUCACUAGUAUGUCGCUCCGCAGCGCCAUGCGAUAUGACGAGGUCAGUCGUUCGAGUCGGCUAAUGGGAA